GACGGGGGAGGCAAGCGUUGUCCGGAAUUAUUGGGCGUAAAGAGCGCGUAGGUGGUUUGUAAAGUCAUUUGUGAAAACUUUAGGCUUAACUUAAAGACUGCAAGUGAUACUGAUAAACUUGAGUACAGUAGAGGAAAGUGGAAUUCCUGGUGUAGCGGUGAAAUGCGCAGAUAUCAGGAAGAACACCAGUGGCGAAGGCGGCUUUCUGGGCUGUUACUGACACUGAGGCGCGAAAGCUAGGGGAGCGAACAGG
This 253-nucleotide ribosomal RNA is filed under the name uncultured bacterium. RNAcentral's name for it is "partial 16S ribosomal RNA". It matches the Rfam family "Bacterial small subunit ribosomal RNA", at positions 524 to 776 of the family's 1533-position model. The record is from RNAcentral.